Molecule: ribosomal RNA, 253 nt
Filed under: uncultured bacterium
Lineage: Bacteria
Description: partial 16S ribosomal RNA
Rfam family: Bacterial small subunit ribosomal RNA
Source: RNAcentral
UACGAAGGGGGCUAGCGUUGUUCGGAUUUACUGGGCGUAAAGCGCACGUAGGCGGAUUGUUAAGUGAGAGGUGAAAUCCCGGAGCUCAACUCCGGAACUGCCUUUAAGACUGCAUCGCUUGAAUCCAGGAGAGGUGAGUGGAAUUCCGAGUGUAGAGGUGAAAUUCGUAGAUAUUCGGAAGAACACCAGUGGCGAAGGCAGUGUCCUGGGGAGUACCUGACGCUCAGGUGCGAAAGCCAGGGGAGCGAACGGG